This 253-nucleotide ribosomal RNA is filed under the name uncultured bacterium. RNAcentral's name for it is "partial 16S ribosomal RNA". It matches the Rfam family "Bacterial small subunit ribosomal RNA", at positions 524 to 776 of the family's 1533-position model. The record is from RNAcentral.
UACGAAGGUCCCAAGCGUUGUUCGGAAUUACUGGGCGUAAAGCGUGCGUAGGCGGCGAGGUAAGUCAGAUGUGAAAUCCCGGGGCUCAACCCCGGAACUGCAUCCGAUACUGCCUUGCUAGAGUAAUGGAGGGGCAUCUGGAAUUCACGGUGUAGCAGUGAAAUGCGUGGAUAUCGUGAGGAACACUAGUGGCGAAGGCGAGAUGCUGGACAUUUACUGACGCUGAGGUACGAAGGCCAGGGGAGCGAACGGG